UGUUCGGAUUUACUGGGCGUAAAGCGCACGUAGGCGGAUUGGUCAGUUAGGGGUGAAAUCCUGGAGCUCAACUCCAGAACUGCCUUUAAUACUGCCAGUCUCGAGUCCGGAAGAGGUAAGUGGAACUCCUAGUGUAGAGGUGGAAUUCGUAGAUAUUCGGAAGAACACCAGUGGCGAAGGCGACUUACUGGACGAUUGUUGACGCUGAGGUGCGAAAGCGUGGGGAGCAAACAGG
RNAcentral lists this ribosomal RNA (235 nucleotides) under uncultured bacterium. RNAcentral's name for it is "partial 16S ribosomal RNA". It matches the Rfam family "Bacterial small subunit ribosomal RNA", at positions 542 to 776 of the family's 1533-position model. The record is from RNAcentral.